RNAcentral lists this ribosomal RNA (461 nucleotides) under uncultured Paraglomus. RNAcentral's name for it is "bacterial SSU rRNA". It matches the Rfam family "Eukaryotic small subunit ribosomal RNA", at positions 569 to 1031 of the family's 1831-position model. The record is from RNAcentral. Lineage: Eukaryota; Fungi; Glomeromycota; Glomeromycetes; Paraglomerales; Paraglomeraceae.
AGCAGCCGCGGUAAUUCCAGCUCCAAUAGCGUAUAUUAAAGUUGUUGCAGUUAAAAAGCUCGUAGUUGAACUUCAGGCCUGUCCAGAUGGUCCGCCUUAAUUGGUGUGUACUGUCCUUGGGUGGGUCCUACCUUCUGGCGAAGCGGCAUGGCCUUAGUUGGUUGUGUCGGGGAACCAGGACUUUUUACUGUGAAAAAUUAGAGUGUUCAAAGCAGGCAUAUAUGCUCGAAUACAUUAGCAUGGAAUAAUGGAAUAGGACGAUGGUUCUAUUUUGUUGGUUCUAGGACCGUUGUAAUGAUUAAUAGGGAUAGUUGGGGGCAUUAGUAUUCAAUUGUCAGAGGUGAAAUUCUUGGAUUUAUUGAAGACUAACUACUGCGAAAGCAUUUGCCAAGGAUGUUUUCAUUAAUCAAGAACGAAAGUUAGGGGAUCGAAGACGAUCAGAUACCGUCGUAGUCUUAACC